GAUGAACGCUGGCGGCGUGCCUAAUACAUGCAAGUCGAGCGAACGGACGAGAAGCUUGCUUCUCUGAUGUUAGCGGCGGACGGGUGAGUAACACGUGGAUAACCUACCUAUAAGACUGGGAUAACUUCGGGAAACCGGAGCUAAUACCGGAUGAUAUUUUGAACCGCAUGGUUCAAAAGUGAAAGACGGUCUUGCUGUCUCUUAUAGAUGGAUCCGCGCUGCAUUAGCUAGUUGGUAAGGUAACGGCCUACCAAGGCAACGAUGCAUAGCCGACCUGAGAGGGUGAUCGGCCACACUGGAACUGAGACACGGUCCAGACUCCUACGGGAGGCAGCAGUAGGGAAUCUUCGGCAAUGGGCGAAAGCCUGACGGAGCAACGCCGCGUGAGUGAUGAAGGUCUUCGGAUCGUAAAACUCUGUUAUUAGGGAAGAACAUAUGUGGAAGUAACUGUGCACAUCUUGACGGUACCUAAUCAGAAAGCCACGGCUAACUACGUG
This 497-nucleotide ribosomal RNA is filed under the name uncultured bacterium. Its description in RNAcentral is "partial 16S ribosomal RNA". It matches the Rfam family "Bacterial small subunit ribosomal RNA", at positions 28 to 507 of the family's 1533-position model. The record is from RNAcentral.